RNAcentral lists this long non-coding RNA (1254 nucleotides) under Capra hircus (goat). RNAcentral's name for it is "lncRNA (ENSCHIG00010000292.1)". The record is from RNAcentral. Lineage: Eukaryota; Metazoa; Chordata; Mammalia; Artiodactyla; Bovidae.
GCCUGCAGCCUCAGCCCGCCGUCGCGCGCCGCCCCUGCCCCGCACCCCCUGCAGGCCCCGGGAGGCUCUCCAAGGUCGGAACGCCGCCUGGGCAGCCGGGCUUCUGCGCCCGCCCUUGCUCUGGUGCCGACACACGGCCUCAGAACCUCUCACCCGCACUGCUUGGGACAACCGAGCAGGUUUACCAACGGCUUGAGCCUGUAAUAGAUGUCAGUUAGUUCACCUGUACUUCUCAGGGUCCGAUGAGCUCAAGUGCUCUUGAUGCCAACUGAUGGAGAGCAGCUCAGUGCCUUGGUUAUGCAAGCGAAGCCUCCGGUAACUGUGUAACCGCCACUGUGUGACUUGUUACUGACUCCAUUUUUCAGAUGAGGAAACUAACGCACAGGAUGUAUCAUUUUCCCAAAGCCACAUUGCAGGGUAGUUGGGGUGCGGAGGUAGGAUUUGAAUUUAGGCGUAACUGGCUCGCAAGCUUUGUGCUUUCCAUCAUUAUUGCGAUGGGAUGGGUUCCAGCAAAGUCGCCCUUCCAAGGGAGCAAUCUGGUGUGUAGAUGCGAACCUUCCUGAAGUAUCUGCACAGCAUGUGGUCUAAGGAAAUGCCAGAGAUACAGAGCCCAGGGACUUCAGUCUUCACCCCAGGCACCUAACAAUGAAGCAACCUUGAACUGCCAGCCCACCACCCUGGGAUAAAGUGGACACUGGGACAUCUCACAGGACAUGGGGCUGGGUCAGAACCAAGUUUGGUCUCAAGUUGGGAAGGCAAGACGCUAUUGAACAGAUCUGGGUCAAGCUCACUCUGAGAAGCACUAGAUCUGUGCUACACACUUGAAUAAUGCAAAGACCCCUGGUUAAACACUCAUGGAGGGAGUUUUCUGGUGGUCCUGUCGUUAGAAAUCUGCCUUGCAAUGAAGGGGACACCAAUUCAAUCGCUCAUGCUGGAAGAUCCCACUUUCCCCGGGAGGGGGGGCGGGGGCACAACUAAGCCUCUGCAUGGCAGUUACUGAACCAGUGGGUCCUGGAGCAGGUGCUCCACAACAAGAGCAACCCGUACUCCAAGGAAGAGUAGCCCCUGCCCACCGCAAGUAGAGAAAGCCUGCUCAAAACAACCGAAGACCCUCCACAGCCAAUAAGUAAGUAAAUCUUAGGGGGGAAAAAAAAGCCUUUCAGUUAGGAAAUGUCGCUGCAAAAGAGAAACGGUAGUUAUAUUUAAAAAUGAAUAUUAAAAUCAUAUCAUUAAAAAUCCCAAGCUUGGCUUCCU